UAUACGUUGAAUGGAUAGAUCUGAGAGGCUAACGGGCCAACCUUUCCACUGAAAAUGUAUCUAAGUAUCUAGAAUUGGGACCAGGGCCCAACGUUGAAUUCAAAUUAAAUAUUCCUAUCUUUCUCAAUUAGGGAAAUUCAUAUCACUGGUGCAUCCUCAUCAAGGUCCAACUCAGAGGCCAAGUUCUUCAAGCAGAGCUUCCUGAUUAUCCUAAGCAAAAUUAAUGUGUAUUGAACUACCCAACAGGAUUACAUCCUCUAGCAAAUCAGAAACUGAAUUCUGGUUUGGUGGCCUUACCCUGAGAGCACCUGCAAUAAUGCUUCACACCUACUGUGCAUCUGAAAGGAUUUCUGUGGUGCUUUUAUAACACACUGAUGCAUAGCAUGGAGAGAGGGACCACCAGAGUACUGGAUAUACUCCUGCCAAAAACCAACAAGCCAUGGGCCACACAGCACAACAGAAGAGGAAAUUUUGAGAUCCCACAAUGCAGCAAUGCGUGUCCUUACCUGCAAGAAAGAAUAAGGAGUCCACUUGGAAAGUUACUUUGUAGUCUUCGUCCUCCUCAAUGCAGCACCUGAAGUGACGGGAACCUUUGCAUGGA
Molecule: long non-coding RNA, 601 nt
Organism: Mustela lutreola (European mink)
Lineage: Eukaryota; Metazoa; Chordata; Mammalia; Carnivora; Mustelidae
Exons: 3
Source: RefSeq, a predicted model, not a curated record